AAGUCGUAACAAGGUUUCCGUAGGUGAACCUGCGGAAGGAUCAUUAAUGAAUUAUGAAAGGGGUUGUCGCUGGCUGUUAGCAGCAUGUGCACGCUCUGAUCAUUAUCCAUCUUACACACCUGUGCACACACUGUAAGUCGGCUUUUGAUGCAAAGUAAGGGUCUUCAUUGACUCUGCUUUAAAUUGGGAGCCUGCUUAUGUUUUAUCACACACUACUUCAGUUUAAAGAAUGUCAAAUCGCGUUUAGCGCAUUUAAAUACAA
Molecule: unclassified non-coding RNA, 262 nt
Filed under: plant metagenome
Description: partial contains small subunit ribosomal RNA and internal transcribed spacer 1
Rfam family: Eukaryotic small subunit ribosomal RNA (bases 1-46)
Source: RNAcentral